Molecule: ribosomal RNA, 241 nt
Filed under: uncultured bacterium
Lineage: Bacteria
Description: partial 16S ribosomal RNA
Rfam family: Bacterial small subunit ribosomal RNA
Source: RNAcentral
UGAGCAAUCUGCCCUUCUCAUCGGAAUAAGCGUUGGAAACGACGUCUAAUGCCGAAUACGACCUCCUUUCGCAUGAUCGGAGGUGGAAAGCUCCGGCGGAGAAGGAUGAGCUCGCGGCCUAUCAGCUAGUUGGUGUGGGUAAUGGCCCACCAAGGCGACGACGGGUAGCCGGCCUGAGGAGGGUGACCGGCCACACGUGGGACUGAGACACGGCCCAGACCUCCCGUAACGGGGAGCCAGG